UCCCUGGUGGUCCAGUGGCUAAGACUCUGCACUUGCAAUGUAGGGGGCCUGGGUUUGACUCCUGAUCAGGGAA
This is a non-coding RNA of Bos taurus (domestic cattle), 73 nucleotides long. The record is from Rfam. NCBI's taxonomy places the organism in Eukaryota, Metazoa, Chordata, Mammalia, Artiodactyla, Bovidae.